This 467-nucleotide ribosomal RNA is filed under the name uncultured bacterium. Its description in RNAcentral is "partial 16S ribosomal RNA". It matches the Rfam family "Bacterial small subunit ribosomal RNA", at positions 28 to 507 of the family's 1533-position model. The record is from RNAcentral.
GACGAACGCUGGCGGCGUGCUUAACACAUGCCAGUCGAACGGAAAGGCCUCUUUCGGGGGGUACUCGAGUGGCGAACGGGUGAGUAACACGUGAGUAACCUGCCCUUGACUUUGGGAUAACUUCAGGAAACUGGGGCUAAUACCGGAUAGGAGCUCCUGCUGCAUGGUGGGGGUUGGAAAGUUUCGGCGGUUGGGGAUGGACUCGCGGCUUAUCAGCUUGUUGGUGGGGUAGUGGCUUACCAAGGCUUUGACGGGUAGCCGGCCUGAGAGGGUGACCGGCCACAUUGGGACUGAGAUAAGGCCCAGACUCCUACGGGAGGCAGCAGUGGGGAAUAUUGCACAAUGGGUGGAAGCCUGAUGCAGCAACGCCGGGUGCGGGAUGACGGCCUUCGGGUUGUAAACCGCUUUCGCUCAUGACGAAGCUUUGUGUGACGGUAGUGGGUAAAGAAGCACCGGCUAACUACGUG